CCCUCGCGCAUAGACAGCCGGGAGUCCUGCCUGCACCCUCUACCUCCGCGGGCUGGUGGCCCCGCCGGCUCCGGGCUGUGAUUUGAAUUUCCUCUCCGCGCUAGGAACCCUCUCCAGGAUCACAGGCUAACCCAGACACUCCAUUCCUGAAGACUUACAGCUGCCCCCACACAAGGGAUUAAUUUACAGAUAGCAGGAGGAAGAGGGAGAGAGGAAUAGA
Molecule: long non-coding RNA, 220 nt
Organism: Myotis brandtii (Brandt's bat)
Lineage: Eukaryota; Metazoa; Chordata; Mammalia; Chiroptera; Vespertilionidae
Exons: 3
Source: RefSeq, a predicted model, not a curated record